Molecule: long non-coding RNA, 811 nt
Filed under: Vigna radiata
Lineage: Eukaryota; Viridiplantae; Streptophyta; Magnoliopsida; Fabales; Fabaceae
Description: long non-coding RNA (VRAD_LNC010599)
Source: RNAcentral
AUGGAGGCCAAGUGGCUUGCGUUGGAGAGGAUCAAACCUGCGAGGCACGACGGCACGACGAGAAUGGUCGAGGCGAGACCGUGAUGGUUGUGUGAUUUUGGUUUGCUUUGCAUGUGCGAGAUACGAAGAAGAAGCUUCAAGGUGGCGGCUUGGUGGUAGCAACGUCCAUGGAUGCGUGUUGAAGCUGAGUUGCAGAUGUGUUCAUGGUGUAGAAGAUGAAGAUCCCUUUCCACCCAAAAUUUAGGGUUCAGAUUUGGGGAAAAGGGCACACAAAGUGGAAUUGGAAAAUGCUGGAGGCUGCUUUUGGGUUUGUUUUCUGCAAGUGCGAGAUGCGAGGGUGAUGGAGGUGUGAUGAUGAUGGAGGUGCGAGGGUGAUGGAGGUACGAUGGUGAUGGAGGUGCGAGGGUGAUGGAGGUACGAUGGUGAUGGAGGUGCGAGGGUGAUNUGAUGGAGGUGCGAGGGUGAUGGAGGUACGAUGGUGAUGGAGGUGCGAGGGUGAUGGAGGUACGAUGGUGAUGGAGGUGCGAGGGUGAUAGAGGUGCAAGGGUGAUGAAGGUGCGAGGGUGAUAGAGGUGCAAGGGUGAUGGAGGUGCGAUGGUGAUGGAUGUGCGACGGUGAUGGAGGUGCGAUGGUUGAUGAUGGCGUGCGAGGAAGAAGAUGAUGGACGGUGGUCGGCGGUUGGGGUUUGGGUAAUGGUAGAGGAAUUAGGGUUUCAGAGGAAGAAGAAAGUCUUCUUUUUUUCCUACUUUGCCCAAAAAAAAUUCUAAUUCCAACUGAAAAGGAUUCCCAGUCAGCAAAAAAUUGACACCUC